This is a non-coding RNA of Pelobates cultripes (western spadefoot toad), 136 nucleotides long. Lineage: Eukaryota; Metazoa; Chordata; Amphibia; Anura; Pelobatidae. The record is from the annotation of a GenBank genome assembly.
UGACAGAGUGAGGGAGGGUGUGACUAGUGACAGAGAGAGGGAGGGUGUGACUAGUGACAGUCACCCCUCCCUCACUCUGUCACUAGUCACCCCCUCCCUCACUCUGUCACUAGUCACCCCCUCCCUCACUCUGUCA